RNAcentral lists this ribosomal RNA (440 nucleotides) under uncultured Clostridium sp. RNAcentral's name for it is "bacterial SSU rRNA". It matches the Rfam family "Bacterial small subunit ribosomal RNA", at positions 338 to 795 of the family's 1533-position model. Lineage: Bacteria; Bacillati; Bacillota; Clostridia; Eubacteriales; Clostridiaceae. The record is from RNAcentral.
CCUACGGGCGGCUGCAGUGGGGAAUAUUGCGCAAUGGGGGAAACCCUGACGCAGCAACGCCGCGUGGGUGAUGAAGGUUUUCGGAUCGUAAAACCCUGUUUUCUGGGACGAUAAUGACGGUACCAGAUGAGGAAGCCACGGCUAACUACGUGCCAGCAGCCGCGGUAAUACGUAGGUGGCAAGCGUUGUCCGGAUUUACUGGGCGUAAAGGGUGCGUAGGCGGAUGCUUAAGUGAGAUGUGAAAUACCUAGGCUUAACUUAGGGGCUGCAUUUCAAACUGGGCAUCUAGAGUACAGGAGAGGGAAACGGAAUUCCUAGUGUAGCGGUGAAAUGCGUAGAGAUUAGGAAGAACACCAGUGGCGAAGGCGGUUUCCUGGACUGUAACUGACGCUGAGGCACGAAAGCGUGGGUAGCAAACAGGAUUAGAUACCCCAGUAGUC